This is a long non-coding RNA of Tachysurus fulvidraco (yellow catfish), 1427 nucleotides long. RefSeq lists it as uncharacterized. The record is from RefSeq and is a predicted model, not a curated record. The transcript is spliced from 3 exons. NCBI's taxonomy places the organism in Eukaryota, Metazoa, Chordata, Actinopteri, Siluriformes, Bagridae.
CGUGAUCAUUGCUCUGCUCGGACGUUUACUUAAACUACAAAAAGGGGCUUCAAACGACCAAACAACUAACAUAAAUCAGGUCGCUGCUGAAGAGGUCUUGAACUAUGCAGCUGUGGGUUUUGAUAAGAAACCUUCAUCCUCUAGAACAUCCAGAGCCAAGAGCCAUGAAGAUGUUUAUGCUCAAGUUAAAGUAAAAUAGAGAAAGAGAAAUUAAUUCAGAAUUAAAACACAACCAAAAUUUAAUUCUUCCCUAAUUUUUAAUUCUUAACUAAAACUAGACAGAUUUUUGAAUCAUGAAUGUACUAGUUUGCUUUAAUUGUUUAUGACUAAAGCUUCUUAUUUGUGGUCUAAAGUUCUGUUCUUUCACCAUUACAGACUGUGUAACCUUCUCAUUUGUAUUUAUUAGGAUUUGAUCAGUUGGUCUUUAAAUUAUAUCCUGCAUUUUUUCCCUAAAUUUAUAAAAGCUUUACAUUUGGGAUCUUUACUUAACAUUUUCUCUUAAAAUAAUGAACCUGAUUUCUAGAAUUGCAAGAAAACCCAUAUUUUGGUUUUAAAAGCUACCUUCAUGACCGUUCAGGUCUCACAUCAGGCCUUUAUUCUUCUUUAAAACAUGUCAGAUGUGAGAGGAUAAAUAAAUCUGUGGAUAAUGUAAUUACUGUAAAUGAGCUAAAUCACAUUCCCCAGCUGUAGGCAGUUUAUAAGUAAAUAUAAUGCACAUUAUGAUGUUUAACCCACACAGAUUUCCAUAAAUAUUAAUGACUUUAAAGUGAAAUAAAUCUGAAUAUUAAUGUUAGUGAUAUUAGUGUUUCCUGUGUUACUUAUUACUGCUGAACCUGAAAUUCAAUUCCAAUUACAUUUUAAUACAGAUUUUACUUUCAUGACAUUUCUAUUAAAUCUAUUAAAUAUUGCACGGUGUGAUGAGUUACAGCUCAGAUUUAAAUAGUAAAUAAAUCAUUAGGAACAUAACAAUUAUCACUGUAUCUAAAACGCUUCCCUGAAAUCUCACUGAAGAAUUAAGUGUGAAUGUGUUAAACAUGUGAUGAUGUAAUGUGGGGAAAUAUGUGGGGAGUCAUUUAAAUUAUCGUUCAGUAAUUUUACUCAAACCAAGAAAUAUUAGAAUUGUUCCAUUUCUCUUGUAAUCAUGUCCUGGUUAGAUUUAGUAAAAAUGUUUUAGUGAAUCCUCAGAAGCUUCAGAGCCUCAGACAUGUACUCUGUAUCGUCAUAUAUAUUGCUGUAUAGUUUAAACAAUUUUUAAAAAUAAAUCAUGUUAAAAAGAAAUGAGUCUGUGACUGCAUGUGAGAACAGAAAACAAAAAACUCUAAUUAUUUUAACUCAAUAUCCAACUGAAACUGUAUUCCUGAUGUAACAGAAUGUGACUUAAUAGUGCCCCUGAAAGACUAGUUUAAAUCGAGCCACUGCGCCACCUU